RNAcentral lists this ribosomal RNA (253 nucleotides) under uncultured bacterium. RNAcentral describes it as "partial 16S ribosomal RNA". It matches the Rfam family "Bacterial small subunit ribosomal RNA", at positions 524 to 776 of the family's 1533-position model. The record is from RNAcentral.
UACGUAGGGUGCAAGCGUUAAUCGGAAUUACUGGGCGUAAAGCGUGCGCAGGCGGUUUUGUAAGACAGAGGUGAAAUCCCCGGGCUCAACCUGGGAACUGCCUUUGUGACUGCAAGGCUUGAGUGCGGCAGAGGGGGAUGGAAUUCCGCGUGUAGCAGUGAAAUGCGUAGAGAUGCGGAGGAACACCGAUGGCGAAGGCAGCCCCCUGGGCUAGCACUGACGCUCAGGCACGAAAGCGUGGGGAGCAAACAGG